Molecule: ribosomal RNA, 253 nt
Filed under: uncultured bacterium
Lineage: Bacteria
Description: partial 16S ribosomal RNA
Rfam family: Bacterial small subunit ribosomal RNA
Source: RNAcentral
UACGUAGGGUGCAAGCUGUGUCCGGAAUUAUUGGGCGUAAAGAGCUCGUAGGCGGUCUGUCGCGUCUGCUGUGAAAACUCAGGGCUUAACCCUGAGCUUGCAGUGGGUACGGGCAGACUAGAGUGCGGUAGGGGAGACUGGAAUUCCUGGUGUAGCGGUGAAAUGCGCAGAUAUCAGGAGGAACACCGGUGGCGAAGGCGGGUCUCUGGGCCGUAACUGACGCUGAGGAGCGAAAGCAUGGGGAGCGAACAGG